AUGGUGACAUCAAUAUAGAAUGUAGUACUGAAACGAUAAAUCUUAGCUACUUGUGCUGUGGUGCUGAAAUUACUUUGGCAUAUUUAAUAAAUCUAAAGGGUUGUUUGAUGUUCUAUAAGCGGAGCAGCAUUUAGCUCGAGUUGGAGAUGUGGACAAGCAUGAUGGAUCAACUUAUGGCCAUGAAUGACUAUGGGAUAAGGUAUCUUGUCAAAUGACUAACGGAUG
RNAcentral lists this long non-coding RNA (225 nucleotides) under Elaeis guineensis (African oil palm). RNAcentral describes it as "long non-coding RNA (EGUI_LNC001719)". Lineage: Eukaryota; Viridiplantae; Streptophyta; Magnoliopsida; Arecales; Arecaceae. The record is from RNAcentral.